GAUGAACGCUGGCGGCGUGCCUAAUACAUGCAAGUCGAGCGAACAGACGAGGAGCUUGCUCCUCUGACGUUAGCGGCGGACGGGUGAGUAACACGUGGAUAACCUACCUAUAAGACUGGGAUAACUUCGGGAAACCGGAGCUAAUACCGGAUAAUAUAUUGAACCGCAUGGUUCAAUAGUGAAAGACGGUUUUGCUGUCACUUAUAGAUGGAUCCGCGCCGCAUUAGCUAGUUGGUAAGGUAACGGCUUACCAAGGCAACGAUGCGUAGCCGACCUGAGAGGGUGAUCGGCCACACUGGAACUGAGACACGGUCCAGACUCCUACGGGAGGCAGCAGUAGGGAAUCGUCCGCAAUGGGCGAAAGCCUGACGGAGCAACGCCGCGUGAGUGAUGAAGGUCUUCGGAUCGUAAAACUCUGUUAUUAGGGAAGAAAAAAUGUGUAAGUAACUAUGCACGUCUUGACGGGACCUAAUCAGAAAGCCACGGCUAACGAAG
RNAcentral lists this ribosomal RNA (495 nucleotides) under uncultured bacterium. RNAcentral's name for it is "partial 16S ribosomal RNA". It matches the Rfam family "Bacterial small subunit ribosomal RNA", at positions 28 to 505 of the family's 1533-position model. The record is from RNAcentral.